CCUACGGGAGGCAGCAGUAGGGAAUUUUCGGCAAUGGGGGGAACCCUGACCGAGCAACGCCGCGUGAACGAAGAAGUUAUUCGUAAUGUAAAGUUCUAUCAGCAGGAACGAGACAAGACGGUACCUGACUAAGAAGCCCCGGCUAACUACGUGCCAGCAGCCGCGGUAAUACGUAGGGGGCAAGCGUUAUCCGGAAUCACUGGGUGUAAAGGGAGCGUAGACGGCUGUGCAAGCCUGAAGUGAAAGGCGGGGGCCCAACCCCUGGACUGCUUUGGGAACUGUACGGCUGGAGUGCAGGAGAGGUAAGUGGAAUUCCUAGUGUAGCGGUGAAAUGCGUAGAUAUUAGGAGGAACACCAGUGGCGAAGGCGGCUUACUGGACUGUAACUGACGUUGAGGCUCGAAAGCGUGGGGAGCAAACAGGAUUAGAUACCCGGGUAGUC
This 441-nucleotide ribosomal RNA is filed under the name uncultured bacterium. Its description in RNAcentral is "partial 16S ribosomal RNA". It matches the Rfam family "Bacterial small subunit ribosomal RNA", at positions 338 to 795 of the family's 1533-position model. The record is from RNAcentral.